CGGCGAGUGAAGCGGCAACAGCUCAAAUUUGAAAUCUGGCUCUUUCAGGGUCCGAGUUGUAAUUUGUAGAAGAUGCUUCGGGUGUGGCUCCGGUCUAAGUUCCUUGGAACAGGACGUCAUAGAGGGUGAGAAUCCCGUAUGUGACUGGUUGCCUUCGCCCAUGUGAAGCUCUUUCGACGAGUCGAGUUGUUUGGGAAUGCAGCUCAAAAUGGGUGGUAAAUUUCAUCUAAAGCUAAAUAUUGGCCAGAGACCGAUAGCGCACAAGUAGAGUGAUCGAAAGAUGAAAAGCACUUUGGAAAGAGAGUUAAACAGUACGUGAAAUUGUUGAAAGGGAAGCGCUUGCAACCAGACUUGCGCGUGGUUGAUCAUCCGGGGUUCUCCCCGGUGCACUCGAUCACGCUCAGGCCAGCAUCGGUUUGGGUGGUUGGAUAAAGGCCUUGGGAAUGUGGCUUCCUUCGGGGAGUGUUAUAGCCCUCGGUGCAAUGCAGCCUACCCGGACCGAGGACCGCGCUUCGGCUAGGAUGCUGGCGUAAUGGUUGUAAGCGACCCGUCUU
Molecule: ribosomal RNA, 554 nt
Filed under: Stipitochalara piceae-abietis
Lineage: Eukaryota; Fungi; Ascomycota; Leotiomycetes; Helotiales; Hamatocanthoscyphaceae
Description: eukaryotic LSU rRNA
Rfam family: Eukaryotic large subunit ribosomal RNA
Source: RNAcentral